Molecule: non-coding RNA, 1281 nt
Organism: Meleagris gallopavo (turkey)
Lineage: Eukaryota; Metazoa; Chordata; Aves; Galliformes; Phasianidae
Source: RefSeq, a predicted model, not a curated record
CGCCUCUGGCGCGGCCACAGCCAUUUUGUUGUCCGAGCGCUGCCCGGGCCGUAGUCGUGUGUUGGCAAAUGGUUUUCGUGGUGCUGGGGUGUGGGGCUGCGGUGCGGCACUCGGGAGAGCUCUCGGUCCCGGCCCUCUCAGGUAAUGCCGAGGUCUCGUCUCGCUGCCUGCGAGCCGCGGGACCCACACGUGCACCUUAUUCUAGGCCUGUGUCAUUGCUGGCUUACUGCUUCACUGAGGUUGAAGCCUUUCCUCGUGGCUCCCUCAGCAGAGGACAGGUCUCUCCUGUAUGUCUCUCCCAGACCUGAGGAGUAUCUCUACCUCGUGCCAGCAAGCUGCCUCUCUCCUCAGAAAUUUGUCUGGAGUUGCCCUCUUCACCUGUGGAGAAACUCGUUCUUCCUCUCCUCCUCUUUCAGCAGCUCUACUCUGCCUCUCCCUGGGUAGCCAGCAGGAUUCCUCAGCCCAGGCUCUGCUGGAGGCCCCUUAUAUUGACUUCUCCAAGCCCUUGCUGCUUCCAGGAGCCAUCUCAAAUCAAACCUUACUCAAGGUGCUGAAACGUUUUGACAGUUGUUAUGGUAUGUCCUAUUUCCAGCUUGUACAGGAAACAGACAUUGAAAUCAAAGAAGAAAGCGAUCCUGUUCUUCUUGUAUUUCUGGCUGAGGCUGGAAGUGGAGUGCCAGAAGUCCGCUGUGGCUGAUUUGUUGUAAAGAGAAGUCUCUUGUAAGUUCCUUGCAUUGAGAGUCCAGCAGUACUUUGUCCUUAGGAGAUUCCCAUCUCAACCUGGAAGAGUUAAAGAUAACAUCUUCACAGAAACACUGGAAAUUCUGUGUGCAGCCCAGAGGAUCUCAAAGGCUAUAGCAGGAAUUUGGGUACAGCAAGUGAUAUGCCUGGUAACUAAAGGCAACUGAAGUAAAAAACAUGUUUAAUAUUCAGGCAAUGGCUUGCAUGCAAUGAGAGGCUGUUUCACAGAAGUUUUGAUAACAUCAUCCUUCAAAACAUCUUGCAGGUGAUCCUGCACUUCUGUCAUCAAAUUCUUCAGCAGGCAUUUUUCAGAGACAAUAUGAAUGCAGAUGUCAGACUUGAAUGGACUCAAGUUACAGUCUCACAGAUGUAAUUAAGUUUGCAAUUAAAAUUAAAAUUAAUCCUCUUUGUUUAAUUCUGCUGAAUUACUAUUGUAUAAGAUCAAUUAGAAAUGUUCAAAUUCAAAACAGUUCCUAAACACAAACUUAUCUUUCUCCUUAUGUGGAAUUAAAGUCUUAUUCUGAGUAUCUGAAAUCUGAA